GUCUCGCGGUGCCCCCCAGUGCCGGAGGGGAAGGAGCGGGCGUGAAGGACGCGAGCUGGAGGACAGUCUCGAUUCGGGCCUGAGCCGUGGAAGCCGUUGGCCUUCGCACAGGAAAGAGGAGCCCGAGAUCAGUCUCUCUGCGCCUCCCUGCUUCCCCCCUUGAAUGGAGCUGCGUUCAGGAGCUGCCUACAGUGCCCAGCGCAUGGCAGCCAUGCUGAGGAGGGGUACAGGGCCAAGAGACACCUGGGUCAGAAGCUUCCCUGAGGGCCUCCCAACAGGAAGACUCUGGGCCCUGCCGCCCACCCGCCACAGCUCCGUUUUCAGCCACAGCAUCCCUGACCUCUCCUUGGAGAAUGUGGGGGCCACUGGACACGCCAGGCCCUGAUGCCGGCACAGGCAGCCUCCUCUUGUUCCUGGACCAAACUGAGAGUCGGGCUGCUAUUUCUCGUGGCCCAGUAACGAGAUGCAGAU
Molecule: long non-coding RNA, 471 nt
Organism: Homo sapiens (human)
Lineage: Eukaryota; Metazoa; Chordata; Mammalia; Primates; Hominidae
Exons: 4
Source: RefSeq, marked validated